AAGCUUGAUCAAGUGAAUCCGGUUUGUAACAACUUAAGAAAGCUUAGAGUUUCUGCUUGAUCUUAAUUCUUGAAUACUAUGUGGGCCACCUUGUCCAUCUCCAUAUUGAAGAAUUCAAACUAUUGCUAAGGCAAUCUAUUAAGUUUUAAAGUUUCUAUCCAAAAAAUGGUGGAAAGUUGAGACAUAUAUUCAAUUUAACAAUUAUAUAUAUAUAUUUAUAUUCCUCUGUUUUUUUUUUUGCAGCUAUGUUCUGGCUCAAAUUUAUU
This 266-nucleotide unclassified non-coding RNA is filed under the name Hevea brasiliensis (rubber tree). Lineage: Eukaryota; Viridiplantae; Streptophyta; Magnoliopsida; Malpighiales; Euphorbiaceae. The record is from RNAcentral.